GACGAACCGUGCGAACGUUAUUCGGAAUCACUGGGCUUAAAGCGCGUGUAGGCGGGCCGCCGCGUCGGCUGCUGAAAUCCCCCGGCUCAACCGGGGAACGGGCACCGAUACGGCGGCCUCGAGGGGGGUAGGGGGACUGGAACUUCCGGUGGAGCGGUGAAAUGCGUUGAGAUCGGAAGGAACGCCCGUGGCGAAAGCGAGUCCCUGGACCCUUUCUGACGCUGAGACGCGAAAGCCAGGGGAGCGAACGGG
RNAcentral lists this ribosomal RNA (252 nucleotides) under uncultured bacterium. Its description in RNAcentral is "partial 16S ribosomal RNA". It matches the Rfam family "Bacterial small subunit ribosomal RNA", at positions 524 to 776 of the family's 1533-position model. The record is from RNAcentral.